AACGAACGCUGGCGGCAUGCCUAACACAUGCAAGUCGAACGAGACCUUCGGGUCUAGUGGCGCACGGGUGCGUAACGCGUGGGAACCUGCCCUUAGGUUCGGAAUAACUCCCCGAAAGGGGUGCUAAUACCGGAUAAGGUCUUCGGACCAAAGAUUUAUCGCCUUUGGAUGGGCCCGCGUUGGAUUAGCUAGUUGGUAGGGUAAAAGCCUACCAAGGCGACGAUCCAUAGCUGGUCUGAGAGGAUGAUCAGCCACACUGGGACUGAGACACGGCCCAGACUCCUGCGGGGGGCAGCAGUGGGGAAUAUUGGACAGUGGGCGAAAGCCUGAUCCAGCAAUGCCGUGGGAGUGAUGAAGGCCUUAGGGUUGUAAAGCUCUUUUACCCGGGAUGAUAAUGACAGUACCGGGAGAAUAAGCUCCGGCUAACUCCGU
RNAcentral lists this ribosomal RNA (432 nucleotides) under uncultured bacterium. Its description in RNAcentral is "partial 16S ribosomal RNA". It matches the Rfam family "Bacterial small subunit ribosomal RNA", at positions 29 to 506 of the family's 1533-position model. The record is from RNAcentral.